RNAcentral lists this unclassified non-coding RNA (257 nucleotides) under Bombus terrestris (buff-tailed bumblebee). Its description in RNAcentral is "misc RNA ENSBTSG00005033030.1". Lineage: Eukaryota; Metazoa; Arthropoda; Insecta; Hymenoptera; Apidae. The record is from RNAcentral.
AGAUGACGAGCUGCUACGUGGAUCAUGGAUUGGCAGACAAAUGGUGUAUAAAAUAUUGCUAAAUGCUUGCGCCAGUUGGCGUUACAACAAAAAACCGCGUGCACUAAGCCAUUUCAUGUAAGAGUUCAAGCAUACUAAAAUGGAAGCAACAUCAUAGUCUAACAACUAACUAGGAACAAAGACUUUAAAAGGCAAACAAUUCAUAAAAAUAAAGACGAGAGACGAAUGGGAAACAACUGCUGGGAGAACCACACAUU